UUCUACGGCCAUGCUACCCUGAACAAGCCUGAUCCUGUCUGAUCUCGGAAGCUAAGCAGGGUCGGGCCUGGUUAGUACUUGGAUGGGAGAUCACUAGGAAUACCAGGUACUGUAGGCA
RNAcentral lists this ribosomal RNA (118 nucleotides) under Pteropus alecto (black flying fox). The record is from RNAcentral. Lineage: Eukaryota; Metazoa; Chordata; Mammalia; Chiroptera; Pteropodidae.